RNAcentral lists this ribosomal RNA (430 nucleotides) under uncultured Alphaproteobacteria bacterium. RNAcentral describes it as "bacterial SSU rRNA". It matches the Rfam family "Bacterial small subunit ribosomal RNA", at positions 8 to 486 of the family's 1533-position model. The record is from RNAcentral. Lineage: Bacteria; Pseudomonadati; Pseudomonadota; Alphaproteobacteria.
AGAGUUUGAUCCUGGCUCAGAACGAACGCUGGCGGCAGGCCUAACACAUGCAAGUCGAACGAUGCCUUCGGGCAUAGUGGCGCACGGGUGAGUAACACGUGGGAACAUACCUUUUGGUGGGGGAUAACUUCGGGAAACUGAAGCUAAUACCGCAUACGCCCCUUGGGGGAAAGAUUUAUCGCCGAAAGAUUGGCCCGCGUCCGAUUAGCCAGUUGGUGAGGUAAUGGCUCACCAAGGCUCCGAUCGGUAGCUGGUCUGAGAGGAUGACCAGCCACACUGGGACUGAGACACGGCCCAGACUCCUACGGGAGGCAGCAGUGGGGAAUAUUGGACAAUGGGCGCAAGCCUGAUCCAGCCAUGCCGCGUGAGUGAUGAAGGCCUUAGGGUUGUAAAGCUCUUCACCCACGACGAUGAUGACGGUAGUGGAGAG